This 459-nucleotide ribosomal RNA is filed under the name uncultured bacterium. Its description in RNAcentral is "partial 16S ribosomal RNA". It matches the Rfam family "Bacterial small subunit ribosomal RNA", at positions 338 to 795 of the family's 1533-position model. The record is from RNAcentral.
CCUACGGGCGGCAGCAGUGAGGAAUAUUGGUCAAUGGUCGGGAGACUGCACCAGCCAAGCCGCGUGAGGGAUGAAGGUACAGAGUAUCGUAAACCUCUUUUGUCAGGGAACAAAGGCGGGGACGCGUCCCCGGAUGAGUGUACCUGAAGAAAAAGCAUCGGCUAACUCCGUGCCAGCAGCCGCGGUAAUACGGAGGAUGCGAGCGUUAUCCGGAUUGAUUGGGUUUAAAGGGUGCGCAGGCGGUCUGUUAAGUCAGCGGUCAAAGCCCGGGGCGAAACCCCGGCCCGCCGUUGACACUGGCAGUCUCGAGUUGGAGAGAGGUAUGCGGAAUGCGCGGUGUAGCGUGGAAAUGCAUAGAGAGCGCGCAGAACUCCGAUUGCGAAGGCAGCAUGCCGGCUCCACACUGACGCUGAGGCACGAAAGCGUGGGUAUCGAACAGGAUUAGAUACCCGAGUAGUC